AUGGGGUCGGGAUUAUUCCAUAGGGAAUGGGAUCGGGAUCGUCCCAUGGGAACAGGAUCGGGAUCGUCCCACAGGAAUGGGAUCGGGAUCGUCCCACGGGAAUGGGAUCGGGAUCGUCCCAUGGGAAUGGGAUCGGGAUCAUCCAACGGGAAUGGGAUCAGGACCAUCCCGCGGGAACAGGAUCGGGAUCAUCCCGUGGGAAUGGGAUCGGGAUCGUCCCGUGGGAACGGGAUUGGGAUGGUCCCACGGGGAACGGGAUCGGGAUCAUCCAACGGGAAUGGGAUUGGGAUGGUCCCACAGGGAAUGGGAUCGGGAUCGUCCCAUGGGAACGGGAUCGGGAUCGUCCCACGGGAAUGGGAUCGGGAUUAUUCCAUAGGGAAUGGGAUCGGGAUCGUCCCAGGGGGAACGGGAUCGGGAUCAUCCAACGAGAACAGGAUCGGGAUCGGGAUGGUCCCACAGGGAAUGGGAUCGGGAUCAUCCAACGGGAAUGGGAUCAGGACCAUCCCGCGGGAACAGGAUCGGGAUCAUCCCGUGGGAAUGGGAUCGGGAUCGUCCCGUGGGAACGGGAUUGGGAUGGUCCCACGGGGAACGGGAUCGGGAUCAUCCAACGGGAAUGGGAUUGGGAUGGUCCCACAGGGAAUGGGAUCGGGAUCGUCCCAUGGGAAUGGGAUCGGGAUCAUCCAAUGGGAUCGGGAUCAGGAUGGUCCCACAGGGAAUGAGAUCGGGAUGGUCCCACAGGGAAUGGGAUCGGGAUCGUCCCAUGGGAAUGGGAUCAGGAUCAUCCAAUGGGAAUGGGAUUGAGACCAUCCCGUGGGAACAGGAUCGGGAUCAUCCCAUGGGAAUGGGCUUGGGAUCGUCCCAUGGGAAUGGGAUUGGGAUGGGAUUGGAUUGAGAUGGAAUUUUGCACUGGGAUGGGAUUGGGAUUUGGGAUGGGAUAUGGAAUGGAUUUGGGAUCGGGAUGGGAUUUGGGGUGGGAAUAGGAUUGGGAUGUGAUUCCCAUCCCAUUCCCACCGAGAUCCCCCAAAUCCCCCUUUGAUGAAAUCCCAGAAUUCCAGCUCCUCCUCCCAUCCAGACCCCUUUUCCCAAACUUAGGAAUCUCAAAUCCUGAAAUUCCUUUCACACCAGACUCGGCAUUCCUGGGAUUCUUUUGGGAUAUUUGGGAAUCCCCACGGCCGUGACUUCCCCAGAAUCUGGGAUUUGGCCUCAAAAUCCCAAAUAAACACUGGGAUUUCUUCCCAAAUUCCCAGUGAGAAUUCCCAAAUGGGGAUCCUGCACCCCCAAAUCUGUGACCCCAAACCAGCACCCCAAAAAGAGGAAUCUGCACCCUAAAAUUAGCACCCAAAAAAGGGAUCCUGCACCCCUAAACCCCAAAAAAAGGAUCUGGCAUCCCCAAAUCUGUACCCUCAGAAAGGGAGGUCUGGUACCUCCAAAUCAGCACCCCAAAAAGGGGAUCCUGCACCCCAAAUCGGGAUCUGGCACCCCCAAAUCUGCACCCCAGAAGGAAUCCUGGCACUCCAAAGGGGAUCUGGCACCCCCGAAUCUGCACCCCAGAAGGGGGAUCCAGCACCCCAAAAAGAGGAUCCUGCACCCUAAAACUGGCACCACAAAAAGGAAUCCUGCACCCCCAAAUCUGUGACCCCAAAUCAGCACCCCAGAAAAAGGAUCUGGCAUCCCCAAAUCCGUACCCUCAGAACGGAAGGUUUGGUACCCCCAAAUCAGCACCCCAAAAGGGGAUCCUGGCACCCCAAAAAGGGUCUGACCCUCCCAAAAUCUGCAUCUCCAAAAAAGGGAUCCUGCACCCCCAAAUCUGCACCCCUGAAUCCCACUGCACCCCAGGGGGGCUCUGCACUCAUGGAACGGGAUUCACAGAUCCCUGUGCUGCAUCCUUUUUCCAGAUCCCAAUCCAUCCCAGAUGCCUGUCCUGGAUCCUGAUCCAUCUGGAUCCCUGUCCCAGAUCCCUGUCCCAGAUCCCGAUCCAUCCAGGAUCCAGAUCCACCCCAGAUCCCUGUCCUGGACCCCAAUCAAUCCUGGGUCCCUGUCCAUCCCGGAUCCCUGUCCAGGAUCCUGAUCCAUCCUGGGUCCCGGACCACUCUGAAUCCCCUUCCAUACUGGAUCCUUGUCCCGGAUCCCGAUCCAUCUCAGAUCCCUGUCCUGGAUCCCAAUCCAUUCUGGAUCUUUGCCUGCAUCCAGAUCCAUCCCAGAUCCCAAUCCAUCCCAGAUCCCUGUCCACCCUGGAUUCCCAUCCAUCCUGGAUCCCGAUCCAUCCUGGACCUUGUCCAGAUCUCCAUCCACCCUGGAUCCUUGCCUGUCCUGGAUCUGGAUCCAGAUCCAUCCCAGAUCCCUGUUCUGGAUCCCAGUCCAUCCUGGAUCCAGAUCCAUCCCAGAUCCCUGUCCUGGAUCCUUGUAAAGACCCCCAUCCACCCUGGAUCCUUGCCUGUUCCGGAUCCCAAUCCAUCCCAGAUCCCCAUCCCAAAUUCCCAUCUCUCCUGGAUCUCUUCUCCUCCCUCAUCCAUCCUCGAUCCCACUUUUUGUUCCACAUUCCCGUUUGUCCAACAUUCCCCUCUCUCCUGGAUUCCUCCUCUGCCCUGGAUCCCUUUCCAGGGAUCCUGCUCCAGCCUGGAUCCUUCUCUGGCCUGGAUUCCAUUCCCUAAAUCCCUUCCCAAAUUCAUUCCCAUUCCCAAAUCCAUUCCCUGACCACCACAUUCCAAGCCCUGAAAUCCCAGAAUGAGGAACCAUUCCAAACCUUUCCCUAAAUCCUUUCCCUUCCCUAAAUCCCAUCCCAAAAUCUUUUCCCUUCCCUUCUUUUCCUGAAUCCAUUCCCUAAAUCCCUUCCCUUCCCUAAAUUCCUUCCCGAAUUCCAUUCCUUUCUCAAAUCCCUCCCCUUCUCCCUUUCCCCCUUUCCUUUUCCCUCUUUUCUUUUUUCCCUUUCCCUUUUUUUCCUUUCCCCCCCCCCCUUUUUCCCUUUCCCCUUUUCCUUUCCCUCCCUUUCCCCCCCCUUUUUUCCUUUCCCCCUUUUUUCCUUUUCCCACUUCCCCCCUUUUUACCGGGGGGGGGGGGGGGGGGGGGGGGGGGGGGGGGGGGGGGGGGGGGGGGGGGGGGGGGGGGGGGGGGGGGGGGGGGGGGGGGGGGGGGGGGGGGGGGGGGGGGGGGGGGGGGGGGGGG
This 3162-nucleotide long non-coding RNA is filed under the name Ficedula albicollis (Collared flycatcher). RNAcentral describes it as "lncRNA (ENSFALG00000029041.1)". The record is from RNAcentral. Lineage: Eukaryota; Metazoa; Chordata; Aves; Passeriformes; Muscicapidae.